RNAcentral lists this ribosomal RNA (245 nucleotides) under uncultured Desulfatiglans sp. Its description in RNAcentral is "partial 16S ribosomal RNA". It matches the Rfam family "Bacterial small subunit ribosomal RNA", at positions 524 to 768 of the family's 1533-position model. The record is from RNAcentral. Lineage: Bacteria; Pseudomonadati; Thermodesulfobacteriota; Desulfobacteria; Desulfatiglandales; Desulfatiglandaceae.
UACGGAGGGUGCAAGCGUUGUUCGGAAUUACUGGGCGUAAAGAGCGUGUAGGCGGUAUGGUAAGUCAGAUGUGAAAGUCCUGGGCUCAACCCAGGAAGUGCUUUUGAAACUGCCAUGCUGGAGUAUGGGAGAGGAGAGUGGAAUUCCCGGUGUAGAGGUGAAAUUCGUAGAUAUCGGGAGGAACACCCGUGGCGAAGGCGACUCUCUGGACCAAUACUGACGCUGAGACGCGAAAGCGUGGGGAG